This 508-nucleotide ribosomal RNA is filed under the name uncultured fungus. Its description in RNAcentral is "eukaryotic LSU rRNA". The stretch from base 163 to 316 matches the Rfam family "5.8S ribosomal RNA". Lineage: Eukaryota; Fungi. The record is from RNAcentral.
ACAGAGUUCGUGCCCUUCGGGGUAGACCUCCCACCCGUGUGAACGAUACCUUUGUUGCUUUGGUCGGCCGCGGGCCCGCCCGCUACCGGCUCUGCUGGUACGCGCCGACCAGAGGCCCCAACUCCUGUUUUCUGUGCCGUCUAAGUCCCAUAUAAUCGUUAAAACUUUCAACAAUGGAUCUCUUGGUUCUGGCAUCGAUGAAGAACGCAGCGAAAUGCGAUAAAUAAUGUGAAUUGCAGACGUCCGUGAAUCAUUGAGUUUUUGAACGCACAUUGCGCCUAUUAGUACUCUAGUAGGCAUGCCUAUCCGAGCGUCGUGCUCUACUUCCAGCGGCAUCCUUGCGGUUGCCGCCGGGCGCUGGCGAUUGCUGGGAAGCCGAUCGCCGAAAUACAGUGGCUAGCGGGAAGGCAGCGUUCUACGUAGUAAAUCAAUCGUCUAAUCUGUCCUCCGGCUACGCCUGGCUCAAACAGUUGACCUCGGAUUAGGUAGGAAUACCCGCUGAACUUAA